GGAAUACCUCCGUGCCACGGUGAAUGCGUUUCCGAAGAGACUCAGGGAUGUUGUGAAGAACAAAGACAACCGCAUCGAACAACUUUGAUAAUUUCCUGUUUAGAAAUAUUUUAAUAAACCAUUGUUGAAUUUUCUUGUUAAAACGAGUC
Non-coding RNA from Caenorhabditis elegans, 149 nucleotides. The record is from Ensembl. NCBI's taxonomy places the organism in Eukaryota, Metazoa, Nematoda, Chromadorea, Rhabditida, Rhabditidae.